RNAcentral lists this ribosomal RNA (252 nucleotides) under uncultured bacterium. RNAcentral describes it as "partial 16S ribosomal RNA". It matches the Rfam family "Bacterial small subunit ribosomal RNA", at positions 524 to 776 of the family's 1533-position model. The record is from RNAcentral.
UACGUAGGGGGCAAGCGUUAUCCGGAAUCACUGGGCGUAAAGGGUGCGUAGGCGGCUUUACAAGUCAGGGGUGAAAGGCUACGGCUCAACCGUAGUAAGCCUUUGAAACUGUAGAGCUUGAGUGCAGGAGAGGAGAGUGGAAUUCCUAGUGUAGCGGUGAAAUGCGUAGAUAUUAGGAGGAACACCAGUGGCGAAGGCGACUCUCUGGACUGUAACUGACGCUGAGGCACGAAAGCGUGGGGAGCGAACAGG